This 137-nucleotide ribosomal RNA is filed under the name uncultured eukaryote. RNAcentral's name for it is "partial 18S ribosomal RNA". It matches the Rfam family "Eukaryotic small subunit ribosomal RNA", at positions 1299 to 1458 of the family's 1831-position model. The record is from RNAcentral.
UGGUGGGGUGACUUGUCUGCUUAAUUGCGAUAACGAACGAGACCUUAACCUGCUAAAUAGCCCGCAUUGCUCCGACAGUGCGCUGGCUUCUUAGAGGGACUUUCGGCUCAAGCCGAAGGAAGUUUGAGGCAAUAACA